Molecule: non-coding RNA, 113 nt
Filed under: Alligator mississippiensis (American alligator)
Lineage: Eukaryota; Metazoa; Chordata; Crocodylia; Alligatoridae
Description: Eukaryotic large subunit ribosomal RNA
Rfam family: Eukaryotic large subunit ribosomal RNA
Source: Rfam by way of RNAcentral
AUGAAAAACCAAUAGAGCAAUUUUUCUUCAGACAUUUGUGCUUGGCUGAGGAGCCAAUGGGGUGAAGCUACCAUCUGUGGGAUUAUGACUGAACGCCUCUAAGUCAGAAUCCC